This 360-nucleotide unclassified non-coding RNA is filed under the name soil metagenome. Its description in RNAcentral is "partial contains 5.8S ribosomal RNA, internal transcribed spacer 2, and large subunit ribosomal RNA". The stretch from base 1 to 120 matches the Rfam family "5.8S ribosomal RNA", at positions 35 to 154 of the family's 154-position model. The record is from RNAcentral.
GAUGAAGAACGUAGCGAAAUGCGAUAAGUAAUGCGAAUUGCAGAAUUCAGUGAAUCAUCGAAUCUUUGAACGCACAUUGCGCCCGCCAGUAUUCCGGCGGGCAUGCCUGUCUGAGCGUCGUUUCGACCCUCGCGCCCGGCUUCUGUCGGGGGCGGUGUUGGGGAUCGGCCACACCCUUCAGUGGGAGGCCGGCCCCUAAAUUCAGUGGCGACCACGCUGUAGCCUCCCCUGCGUAGUACUAAAACCACCUCGCAGGCGGAGAGCGGUGCGGCCCGCCGUAAAACCCCCCAACUUUUACAAGGUCGACCUCAGAUCAGGUAGGAAUACCCGCUGAACUUAAGCAUAUCAAUAAGCGGAGGA